RNAcentral lists this long non-coding RNA (286 nucleotides) under Phoenix dactylifera (date palm). RNAcentral describes it as "long non-coding RNA (PDAC_LNC010271)". Lineage: Eukaryota; Viridiplantae; Streptophyta; Magnoliopsida; Arecales; Arecaceae. The record is from RNAcentral.
GAAUGAAGGGAAUGGAAGAGACAAUGAAACAAUCACAAACACAAGAGAUUUUAUAGUGGUUCGGAGCUAACCCUUGCUCCUACGUCCACUCCCCAAGCUUCACUUGGGAGUUCACUAUAAUCCCACGGAUUACAGCCGGUUGUUUUACAAGCUCAAAAUCCAACUUGUUGUUUUACGAGAUCACAACGAACUCGGUCGGUUUUCACAGGCUCACCGACUAGAACCAUCCGAUUGUUUUUCCGGGAUCACAAUCAAACCCUUACACGUUGGUUUUACCCUCGGCUCA